Long non-coding RNA from Marmota flaviventris (yellow-bellied marmot), 1734 nucleotides. RefSeq lists it as uncharacterized. Lineage: Eukaryota; Metazoa; Chordata; Mammalia; Rodentia; Sciuridae. The record is from RefSeq and is a predicted model, not a curated record.
CUAUACCUUGUUUGUGAGGAGAAGAACAUGGAUGUGGCACAGGGUGGUACUAAAAGAGAAAAAUGGGUAAUUAAACUGGGUCUCUAAGUCCCAAGUGAAACAAGCCAGGAAAUGCAGCAGAGAUCUCCAAGAACACCCAAGUUCAUGUUUCAAGAAGCCACCUGGUAGCAAAGCUGGAAUAACCUCAAAUGGAAGACAGAGCACAAGACUUGGGAGGAGCAGGAGUUGCUAUUUGCUGGUCCUGGCUAUCCGAUACAUUCUGCAAAGCAGCUACUACAUCAGAAAAUCAAAUUAUCUGGGGAGAUUAAGAGCUGCCUGUGAGUGACUGGUUAUAACUCACAAUUUCAAGCAAAUUUUAAGACCAUCAUAUUUAUAUCUUGGACAUUUCUACCACUCCAUUAUUUCCACUUGGAACAAUCAUCUCUUUAAAGUCAUGAGGAAAUAAUGCCUAACAAGACUGUCCUACCAAACCUGCAGGUCCAUCUGUGAAUUCUUUCUCCUGCUCUUUGCUAAUGUGGAACACACACAACCCUUCCCCUUCACUUCAUCCUAAUAACAUCACAGAAACCAAAGCCUGCAUCAAACUGUGGACUUAAUUUUUUAAUGCAGUGUCAGUUCUUCGCACAGAUGAUGGCUGCUCUGGGCUGCUGAUGGUAGAUGGCUCCAGACCCACAUCCUGUAAGGUCCAUCCUUGUGGGAAGACGUCUGGCUCUUCCCAGGAUUCCUGCUUCUACUGAAAAGUUGCAAACUGUUAUUGAAAUGGACACGUGCUUCCUUAACGCAUCCCUUCUAUGAGUCAUCAUGAUGGAGUCAUUUCUAAAACUGUGCCUAGCUAUCACUCCAGCUGCUUUUGCUGACAGAUUUUUACAGCAAAUCUGAUAUCUGAUCUUCAAUUUCUACAGAGCACAUCUCCUUGCAAGGUUGAUUUGGCCGUCAGCACAACUAAAGCUCAAAUUAGCAAUCUCCCAGAUGCAUGUUGUUUUCAGCUAUUGAAAACAGAGUACAACUUCUUACUGGAAGUUGCCAUCAUGUGGCAGCUACUCUUGAUGGCAUUUGAAAGUGGAUUCAUUUUCCUCCAAUACCAGAAGACCUUCAUCACAGUCCUCAACAGGGUCCUCCACCCAGUUCGCCUCCAGCAUGCAAAUACAUUCAGAAGGAAGCCAAGGACCCAGCAGCCCCUGGCUCUGAAGAGGCAAAGCUGCAGGAUGUGAAGAACACAUGUGCCUCCAGUAUUUGGAGCAGCCAGUGUUAGUGAAGGGAGGACCAAAGAGAGAGCUCUGGGAGGACCCAGAGUAGCCACUGCAUGUUUCUGUUCUCAUCUUCAGCAGCAGUUUGAGCUUGGUUGGGGAAGGAAGGAGAGAACAAGAGAGCUUAACAGAUAGCAGUGAAGGAAUUCUUUCAUUUGCCUUCCAUUUCAGAACAGUGAAAAUACUGAACAUCAAAAGACAAACAAGAAUGUUAUUGUUGCUCAAGUGAACAAAUAAAUCAGGAGGGUAGGCAUGUAAGUAAAACUUACUUUGCCAUGUACACGAGGGGGUGAAAAAGUGCUGAUGGAGGAAUGAGUAAGCAAAUGGAUUCUUUUAGCAAAUGUGCAAAUUCUGAUAAUUUCGAUCUUACCUCAUGGUUUGGGAGGAGUUUGGGAGAGUGCUGGGUUUUAGUUGUGUGAUAGUAGAAGCAAAUGUGACUCCAUUUUGUUUUAUGACUUCAUCCUGUAAAACAACCAUGCCAAGUAGA